UCAAAAUAUCUAUUAUUCGUCUGUAUUUUGUCUCAAGCACCUCAGAUGGCCUUACACAUAAAGCAUUAAUAAAUAUCUGCUGAAUCAGUAAAAUAUAUAUACUUUUCAGGAAGAUGAAAUAUAAUGUGUUAUAUAGUGAUAGUGACUUUAACCAGUAUUUUCCUUGUAUAGCUUUUCAAAUAUAUAAAGUAUAUAAUCAUAUAAUCACAUGAUCUACUACAAAUUCCUUACAAGAAAUCUGAUGGAUACAUUGGCCUUAUCAAUAACAAGUAAUGUUAUUGAAAAUACUCAUAAUUAUAAAUCUUUAUUGAAAUAUUUUACUUUCCAAAAUAACUUCUAGAAAAGAAUAGAUCUGCUGUAAAGAACCUUAAAUCUUCAUAGCUUUGCCUUCUUUAUAUAACCAAUUCCCUUUCAAUAAAACCUACCCAACUUAUUAUACAGAAAGAUUAUUUCUUUAUAAAAUGAGAUCAUUUCCACACUUGCACAUUUGAUGUUACUGCCAAUAAUUAGUCACCAAUUUAUUACUUUUGGAAUCCUUUAAACCAGUACUUUCUUGACUGGCACUCAGUUUAGUGAUAGAGUAUUUUAUUAAAUAUGGAUCCUUGAUUGUCAUAAGAAAUAUUGUUGGAAACUAUGUACAAAAGAUGCCCUCAUGGGUGAACUAUCUUAGUUUUCCCUGUAGUACAUACUUAUAGUUUUGUCUGAAUUGUAUGUGUGGUUUUAUGUUUAACCUAAAUCAUUUUUUAAACAGCUUUUUAAUUUAGGAUAACUUUAGAUUUACAGAAAAGUUGCAAAGAUG
RNAcentral lists this long non-coding RNA (799 nucleotides) under Marmota monax (woodchuck). Lineage: Eukaryota; Metazoa; Chordata; Mammalia; Rodentia; Sciuridae. The record is from RNAcentral.